GCCGAACGCUGGCGGCGCGCUUAACACAUGCAAGUCGAACGGAAAGGCUCUGCUUCUGUGGGGUGCUCGAGUGGCGAACGGGUGCGUAACACGUGAGUAACCUGCCCUUGAUUUUGGGAUAACUUCAGGAACCUGGUGCUAAUUCCGGAUAGCAGCCCCUGCUGCAUGGUGGGGGUUGGAAAGUUUCGGCGGCUGGGGAUGGACUCGCGGCUUAUCAGCUUGUUGGUGGGGUAGUGGCUUACCAAGGCUUUGACGGGUAGCUGGCCUGAGAGGGUGACGGGCCACAUUGGGACAGAGACACGGCACAGACUCCUACGGGAGGCAGCAGUUGGGGAUAUUGAACAAGGGGCGGAAACCUGAUGCUGCAUGGCCGCGUGCGGGAUGACGGCCUUCGGGUUGUAAACCGCGUUCGCCUGUGACGAAGCGUGAGUGACGGUAAUGGGUAAAGAAGCACGGGCUAACUACGUG
RNAcentral lists this ribosomal RNA (468 nucleotides) under uncultured bacterium. Its description in RNAcentral is "partial 16S ribosomal RNA". It matches the Rfam family "Bacterial small subunit ribosomal RNA", at positions 28 to 507 of the family's 1533-position model. The record is from RNAcentral.